GAUGAACGAUGGCGGCGUGCCUAAUACAUGUAAGCUGAGCGAACAGACGAGGAGCUUGCUCAUCCGACGUUAGCGGCGGACGGGUGAGUAAAAGGUGGAUAACCUACCUAUUAGACUGGGAUAACUUCGGGAAACCGGAGCUAAUACCGGCAAAUCUAUUGAACCGCAUGGUUCAAUAGCGAAAGACCGUUUUGCUGUCACUCCUAGAUCGAUCCGCCCCGCAUUAGCUAGUUGGUAAGGUAACGGCUUACCAAGGCAACGAUGCGGAGCCGACGUGAGAGGAUUACCAGCCAUGCUAGAACUGAGACAAGGACAAAGCUCCUUAGGGAGGCGCCAGUAGGGAAUCUGCCACGAGAGGCGAAAGCCUGACCUAGCAACGCCGCUUAGGUGAGGAGGGUUUGCGGAUCGUAAAACACUAUUAUUAGGGAAGAACAAUUGUGUAAAUAACUAUCCGCGUCUUGAGGUUACCUAAUCAGAAAGCCAGUGCUAACUACGGG
Molecule: ribosomal RNA, 497 nt
Filed under: uncultured bacterium
Lineage: Bacteria
Description: partial 16S ribosomal RNA
Rfam family: Bacterial small subunit ribosomal RNA
Source: RNAcentral